RNAcentral lists this ribosomal RNA (137 nucleotides) under uncultured bacterium. RNAcentral describes it as "partial 16S ribosomal RNA". It matches the Rfam family "Bacterial small subunit ribosomal RNA", at positions 355 to 507 of the family's 1533-position model. The record is from RNAcentral.
UGGGGAAUAUUGCGCAAUGGGCGAAAGCCUGACGCAGCGACGCCGCGUGUGGGAUGACGGCCUUCGGGUUGUAAACCACUGUCGGGAGGGACGAAGAUCUGACGGUACCUCCAAAGGAAGCACCGGCUAACUCUGUG